Cricetulus griseus (Chinese hamster) is the source of this 129-nucleotide small nucleolar RNA. NCBI's taxonomy places the organism in Eukaryota, Metazoa, Chordata, Mammalia, Rodentia, Cricetidae. The record is from Ensembl.
AAGCAUUGUGCAAUGGCCUCUGGUUUUCCUUGUAGCCAGUUAGGUCGGAAAGCAAUGCAAGAGAAAUGUCCUUUUUCCACGAGAAACAAUCCUGCAGUGGGUUGUUCCUAUCGACAGGAGGUCACACAU